UACGUAGGGUGCAAGCGUUAAUCGGAAUUACUGGGCGUAAAGCGUGCGCAGGCGGUUGCGCAAGACCGAUGUGAAAUCCCCGGGCUUAACCUGGGAAUGGCAUUGGUGACUGCACGGCUAGAGUGUGUCAGAGGGGGGUAGAAUUCCACGUGUAGCAGUGAAAUGCGUAGAGAUGUGGAGGAAUACCGAUGGCGAAGGCAGCCCCCUGGGAUAACACUGACGCUCAUGCACGAAGGCGUGGGGAGCAAACAGG
RNAcentral lists this ribosomal RNA (253 nucleotides) under uncultured bacterium. RNAcentral's name for it is "partial 16S ribosomal RNA". It matches the Rfam family "Bacterial small subunit ribosomal RNA", at positions 524 to 776 of the family's 1533-position model. The record is from RNAcentral.